This 445-nucleotide ribosomal RNA is filed under the name uncultured bacterium. Its description in RNAcentral is "partial 16S ribosomal RNA". It matches the Rfam family "Bacterial small subunit ribosomal RNA", at positions 354 to 796 of the family's 1533-position model. The record is from RNAcentral.
GUGAGGAAUAUUGGUCAAUGGGCGAGAGCCUGAACCAGCCAAGUAGCGUGCAGGAUGACGGCCCUAUGGGUUGUAAACUGCUUUUACACGGGGAUAAAGUGUGCGACGUGUCGUUCAUUGCAGGUACCGUGCGAAUAAGGACCGGCUAAUUCCGUGCCAGCAGCCGUGGUAAUACGGAAGGUCCGGGCGUUAUCCGGACUUAUUGGGUUUAAAGGGAGCGUAGGCUGUCAGGCAAGCAUGUUGUGAAAUGUCGUGGCUCAACCAUGGACUUGCAGCGCGAACUGCCCUACUUGAGUGCGCGGAAAGCAGGCGGAAUUUGUGGUGUAGCGGUGAAAUGCUUAGAUAUCACGAAGAACCCCGAUUGCGAAGGCAGCCUGCUGUAGCGCUACUGACGCUGAAGCUCGAAAGUGCGGGUAUCGAACAGAAUUAGAAACCCUAGUAGUCC